RNAcentral lists this ribosomal RNA (262 nucleotides) under uncultured bacterium. RNAcentral describes it as "partial 16S ribosomal RNA". It matches the Rfam family "Bacterial small subunit ribosomal RNA", at positions 509 to 770 of the family's 1533-position model. The record is from RNAcentral.
CAGCAGCCGCGGUCAUACGUAGGAUCCAAGCGUUAUCCGGAUUUACUGGGCGUAAAGCGCACGUAGGCGGACAUUUAAGUCAGGGGUGAAAUCCCGCAGCUCAACUGCGGAACUGCCUUUGAUACUGGGUGUCUAGAGUAUGGAAGAGGUAAGUGGAAUUGCGAGUGUAGAGGUGAAAUUCGUAGAUAUUCGCAGGAACACCAGUGGCGAAGGCGGCUUACUGGUCCAUUACUGACGCUGAGGUGCGAAAGCGUGGGGAGCA